AGUGAACGCUGGCGGCGUGCUUAACACAUGCAAGUCGAACGAGAACGGGUUAUAGCUUGCUAUAAUUGUCAGCUAAGUGGCGCACGGGUGAGUAAUGUAUAGGUAAUAUGCCUCUUACUAAGGGAUAACAAAUGGAAACGUUUGCUAAUACCUUAUACUCCUUAUUAACUAAAGUUGGUAAGGGAAAGAUUUAUUGGUAAGAGAUUGGCCUGUAUUGUAUCAGUUAGUUGGUGGGGUAAUGGCCUACCAAGACUAUGACGCAUAACUGGUUUGAGAGGAUGAUCAGUCACACUGGAACUGAGACACGGUCCAGACUCCUACGGGAGGCAGCAGUGGGGAAUAUUGCACAAUGGGCGAAAGCCUGAUGCAGCAACGCCGCGUGAGGGACGAAGGCCUUCGGGUUGGUAAACCUCUUUAGUCAGGGAAGAAGCGAAAGUGACGGUACCGGAAUAAGAAGACACCGGCUAACUACGUG
This 475-nucleotide ribosomal RNA is filed under the name uncultured bacterium. Its description in RNAcentral is "bacterial SSU rRNA". It matches the Rfam family "Bacterial small subunit ribosomal RNA", at positions 29 to 507 of the family's 1533-position model. The record is from RNAcentral.